UUUUCAAGAUCAUACAGCGGAAGACUAAAAUAAAUCAAAAUUUAUUUUUUAAAACCAGAGAAUCCCUAGAUCUAAGAUCCUAUUACAUGAUUAUUACAUAGCAUUAAAUCAAAAAUUAAAAUAUAUAAAUAUAGCAUGAACUACAUGUUGAUCAUAUCAACAUGUUUUUAUACCACAUCUAAUGUAUGUAUUAAACAAUAGAUCAGAUCUAUUACCUUGCAAGUUAGAUGCUCUAACCUCGCUGAUCCGGGCUUAAAGAUGAUGUUGCAAGCCGCACAUGUGUCCGGCCUCUAGGAGUCAUCCACACGAGCCCACGAAUAUCGAUCAGAAGUCCUGCUUCAGGAAAUCAGCACAGUAUGUUAGUACUGCACUGAUCCUUCUUUGAUGGUUGAUCAGGUGCCUCCUUCUUCUUGAUUUGGACUCUUCCAAAGAUGUAAAGUAGAAGGAAG
RNAcentral lists this long non-coding RNA (449 nucleotides) under Elaeis guineensis (African oil palm). RNAcentral describes it as "long non-coding RNA (EGUI_LNC047151)". The record is from RNAcentral. Lineage: Eukaryota; Viridiplantae; Streptophyta; Magnoliopsida; Arecales; Arecaceae.